RNAcentral lists this ribosomal RNA (253 nucleotides) under uncultured bacterium. Its description in RNAcentral is "partial 16S ribosomal RNA". It matches the Rfam family "Bacterial small subunit ribosomal RNA", at positions 524 to 776 of the family's 1533-position model. The record is from RNAcentral.
UACGUAGGUGGCAAGCGUUGUCCGGAUUUAUUGGGCGUAAAGAGCGUGUAGGCGGCCAGGCAGGUCCGCUGUGAAAACUCGAGGCUCAACCUCGAGAGGUCGGUGGAAACCGUCUGGCUAGAGUCCGGAAGAGGAGAGUGGAAUUCCCGGUGUAGCGGUGAAAUGCGCAGAUAUCGGGAAGAACACCCGUGGCGAAGGCGGCUCUCUGGGACGGUACUGACGCUGAGACGCGAAAGCGUGGGGAGCGAACAGG